RNAcentral lists this ribosomal RNA (2901 nucleotides) under Escherichia coli. RNAcentral describes it as "bacterial LSU rRNA". It matches the Rfam family "Bacterial large subunit ribosomal RNA". The record is from RNAcentral. Lineage: Bacteria; Pseudomonadati; Pseudomonadota; Gammaproteobacteria; Enterobacterales; Enterobacteriaceae.
UUAAGCGACUAAGCGUACACGGUGGAUGCCCUGGCAGUCAGAGGCGAUGAAGGACGUGCUAAUCUGCGAUAAGCGUCGGUAAGGUGAUAUGAACCGUUAUAACCGGCGAUUUCCGAAUGGGGAAACCCAGUGUGAUUCGUCACACUAUCAUUAACUGAAUCCAUAGGUUAAUGAGGCGAACCGGGGGAACUGAAACAUCUAAGUACCCCGAGGAAAAGAAAUCAACCGAGAUUCCCCCAGUAGCGGCGAGCGAACGGGGAGGAGCCCAGAGCCUGAAUCAGUGUGUGUGUUAGUGGAAGCGUCUGGAAAGGCGCGCGAUACAGGGUGACAGCCCCGUACACAAAAAUGCACAUACUGUGAGCUCGAUGAGUAGGGCGGGACACGUGGUAUCCUGUCUGAAUAUGGGGGGACCAUCCUCCAAGGCUAAAUACUCCUGACUGACCGAUAGUGAACCAGUACCGUGAGGGAAAGGCGAAAAGAACCCCGGCGAGGGGAGUGAAAAAGAACCUGAAACCGUGUACGUACAAGCAGUGGGAGCCUCUUUUAUGGGGUGACUGCGUACCUUUUGUAUAAUGGGUCAGCGACUUAUAUUCUGUAGCAAGGUUAACCGAAUAGGGGAGCCGAAGGGAAACCGAGUCUUAACCGGGCGUUAAGUUGCAGGGUAUAGACCCGAAACCCGGUGAUCUAGCCAUGGGCAGGUUGAAGGUUGGGUAACACUAACUGGAGGACCGAACCGACUAAUGUUGAAAAAUUAGCGGAUGACUUGUGGCUGGGGGUGAAAGGCCAAUCAAACCGGGAGAUAGCUGGUUCUCCCCGAAAGCUAUUUAGGUAGCGCCUCGUGAAUUCAUCUCCGGGGGUAGAGCACUGUUUCGGCAAGGGGGUCAUCCCGACUUACCAACCCGAUGCAAACUGCGAAUACCGGAGAAUGUUAUCACGGGAGACAUACGGCGGGUGCUAACGUCCGUCGUGAAGAGGGAAACAACCCAGACCGCCAGCUAAGGUCCCAAAGUCAUGGUUAAGUGGGAAACGAUGUGGGAAGGCCCAGACAGCCAGGAUGUUGGCUUAGAAGCAGCCAUCAUUUAAAGAAAGCGUAAUAGCUCACUGGUCGAGUCGGCCUGCGCGGAAGAUGUAACGGGGCUAAACCAUGCACCGAAGCUGCGGCAGCGACACUGUGUGUUGUUGGGUAGGGGAGCGUUCUGUAAGCCUGUGAAGGUGUACUGUGAGGUAUGCUGGAGGUAUCAGAAGUGCGAAUGCUGACAUAAGUAACGAUAAAGCGGGUGAAAAGCCCGCUCGCCGGAAGACCAAGGGUUCCUGUCCAACGUUAAUCGGGGCAGGGUGAGUCGACCCCUAAGGCGAGGCCGAAAGGCGUAGUCGAUGGGAAACAGGUUAAUAUUCCUGUACUUGGUGUUACUGCGAAGGGGGGACGGAGAAGGCUAUGUUGGCCGGGCGACGGUUGUCCCGGUUUAAGCGUGUAGGCUGGUUUUCCAGGCAAAUCCGGAAAAUCAAGGCUGAGGCGUGAUGACGAGGCACUACGGUGCUGAAGCAACAAAUGCCCUGCUUCCAGGAAAAGCCUCUAAGCAUCAGGUAACAUCAAAUCGUACCCCAAACCGACACAGGUGGUCAGGUAGAGAAUACCAAGGCGCUUGAGAGAACUCGGGUGAAGGAACUAGGCAAAAUGGUGCCGUAACUUCGGGAGAAGGCACGCUGAUAUGUAGGUGAAGUCCCUCGCGGAUGGAGCUGAAAUCAGUCGAAGAUACCAGCUGGCUGCAACUGUUUAUUAAAAACACAGCACUGUGCAAACACGAAAGUGGACGUAUACGGUGUGACGCCUGCCCGGUGCCGGAAGGUUAAUUGAUGGGGUCAGCGCAAGCGAAGCUCUUGAUCGAAGCCCCGGUAAACGGCGGCCGUAACUAUAACGGUCCUAAGGUAGCGAAAUUCCUUGUCGGGUAAGUUCCGACCUGCACGAAUGGCGUAAUGAUGGCCAGGCUGUCUCCACCCGAGACUCAGUGAAAUUGAACUCGCUGUGAAGAUGCAGUGUACCCGCGGCAAGACGGAAAGACCCCGUGAACCUUUACUAUAGCUUGACACUGAACAUUGAGCCUUGAUGUGUAGGAUAGGUGGGAGGCUUUGAAGUGUGGACGCCAGUCUGCAUGGAGCCGACCUUGAAAUACCACCCUUUAAUGUUUGAUGUUCUAACGUGGACCCGUGAUCCGGGUUGCGGACAGUGUCUGGUGGGUAGUUUGACUGGGGCGGUCUCCUCCUAAAGAGUAACGGAGGAGCACGAAGGUUGGCUAAUCCUGGUCGGACAUCAGGAGGUUAGUGCAAUGGCAUAAGCCAGCUUGACUGCGAGCGUGACGGCGCGAGCAGGUGCGAAAGCAGGUCAUAGUGAUCCGGUGGUUCUGAAUGGAAGGGCCAUCGCUCAACGGAUAAAAGGUACUCCGGGGAUAACAGGCUGAUACCGCCCAAGAGUUCAUAUCGACGGCGGUGUUUGGCACCUCGAUGUCGGCUCAUCACAUCCUGGGGCUGAAGUAGGUCCCAAGGGUAUGGCUGUUCGCCAUUUAAAGUGGUACGCGAGCUGGGUUUAGAACGUCGUGAGACAGUUCGGUCCCUAUCUGCCGUGGGCGCUGGAGAACUGAGGGGGGCUGCUCCUAGUACGAGAGGACCGGAGUGGACGCAUCACUGGUGUUCGGGUUGUCAUGCCAAUGGCACUGCCCGGUAGCUAAAUGCGGAAGAGAUAAGUGCUGAAAGCAUCUAAGCACGAAACUUGCCCCGAGAUGAGUUCUCCCUGACCCUUUAAGGGUCCUGAAGGAACGUUGAAGACGACGACGUUGAUAGGCCGGGUGUGUAAGCGCAGCGAUGCGUUGAGCUAACCGGUACUAAUGAACCGUGAGGCUUAACCUU